This 345-nucleotide ribosomal RNA is filed under the name uncultured bacterium. RNAcentral describes it as "bacterial SSU rRNA". It matches the Rfam family "Bacterial small subunit ribosomal RNA", at positions 457 to 793 of the family's 1533-position model. The record is from RNAcentral.
UAGCUGCAUCAUUUGACGUUAGCGACAGAAGAAGCACCGGCUAACUCCGUGCCAGCAGCCGCGGUAAUACGGAGGGUGCGAGCGUUAAUCGGAAUUACUGGGACGUAAAAGCGCAUGCAGGUGGUUUGUUAAAGUCAGAUGUGAAAAAGCCCGGGCUCAAACCUCGGAAAUAGCAUUUGAAAAACUGGCAGACUAGAGUACUGUAGAGGGGGUAGAAUUUCAGGUGUAGCGGUGAAAAUGCGUAGAGAUCUGAAGGAAUACCGGUGGCGAAGGCGGCCCCCUGGACAGAUACUGACACUCAGAUGCGAAAGCGUGGGGAGCAAACAGGAUUAGAUACCCUGGUAG